Molecule: long non-coding RNA, 1300 nt
Organism: Pomacea canaliculata
Lineage: Eukaryota; Metazoa; Mollusca; Gastropoda; Architaenioglossa; Ampullariidae
Exons: 3
Source: RefSeq, a predicted model, not a curated record
AGUCGGCCCUGCCUCUGCUUCCUGGUGUCACAAAGUCGAGUUGGCUUAGUGGUUCUGUAACUUGCAAAGCUUCUGUAGCUUUCCAAUACCAGAAACUUUUUUAAAUUGGGGAAUGGGAUUAAAUCAACGCGGAGAUGUAAUUCUACAGAUAAACCUCAUCUAACAACCUAAAUGAUUUCUGGAAUUGGUAUUGAUUGAUAUCAAAACAGCUUCUGAGGUUGCCUGCGGCAAACUGUGGGCUGGCGACUGCGGCUCGGUAAAUUGCGGGACAGUCACUUCAGUGGCUGCCAUAAGACUGUUUACUCAGCUCGGCCAUCGCUCCACAACAGCGUUUUCCUUUUAAUUCUGGCUUUUGAUUCAUGGAGGUCCAUCACACCCAGGGGGCGACAACCACCACGACCUGAUGUUUGCCGAAGACCACCUGAUGUCUCAUCUGAGGCCGAAGGUAGCAACACGAUGACAGCAACUGUUGCGUGUAACAGUAUUGUGUUCAGCAUCGCCCAUUGUAACAACUCGCUGCUAAGAACCCUGGGUGCGAUGCAUCAGCUACCGCAGCAUCUGCAGCACGGCAAGUGUGCUGACAUUCUACUCUGUCAUUGUCAGCCUCGCCCGUGGCCACAGCAAGGAAAGGCGUGCAGUCCUGUGGUCCGUCCACCAGUGAUGUUCGUGCGAUGCCGUGGUGUGCUUCUAACUCCUGCUGUGUCAUCAGGCUUCUGAAGAAUAAAUCCGCUUAACAUGAUCUGACAGAGCAAAAACGGUCAAAGCCGUUAGGAGUAGAUCACGGAUGUCAACUUUUAAUUUCCAGAGGAUGAGUACAGCCUGGACAUAAAUCUGUCAGCAGAGACCUCUACUUUAUGGCCAUAUCGACGGUUUGCAGAAUGAUGUGGACUGGGAGUAAUUUAUAAGCAUGUUUGUGCCAUCUAGUCUUGCCAAACAACAAUCAAACAGCACGUGACAAGUUUACGAGACGGCGUCUGACGUUUCCUUGUUGACGCCGAUGUACAUUAUUUGCACUCACGUGCGGAGUAAACAUUCAAAGUCUGCUCCAGUCACUCAUGCCUUGUGAAGUGAACAGGAAGCUCUGCGUGAAGCUCUGUGAACUGAACCACACUUACAUGUCCUUCCAGUCCAUCCUCCUGUCAGGUGGUCGACACAAGCAGGACGGCUUGUAGGUAAGAAAGGGUGACACGUGUCUUCUUCCCGCCAUUUUUGCUUCCUUACAGUAAACAUUUAUAUAUAUAUUAUUUUUUUUACAUUGUCAUACAUCCUUGUUUCAAGUUUGUUUUCAAUAUUAUUAAAA